This 271-nucleotide ribosomal RNA is filed under the name Leptospira interrogans serovar Kirikkale. Its description in RNAcentral is "partial 16S ribosomal RNA". It matches the Rfam family "Bacterial small subunit ribosomal RNA", at positions 60 to 336 of the family's 1533-position model. The record is from RNAcentral. Lineage: Bacteria; Pseudomonadati; Spirochaetota; Leptospiria; Leptospirales; Leptospiraceae.
UUCCAGUCAAAGCGAGUAGCAAUACUCAGCGGCGAACGGGUGAGUAACACGUGGGUAAUCUUCCUCUGAGUCUGGGAUAACUUUCCGAAAGGGAAGCUAAUACUGGAUGGUCCCGAGAGAUCAUAAGAUUUUUCGGGUAAAGAUUUAUUGCUCGGAGAUGAGCCCGCGUCCGAUUAGCUAGUUGGUGAGGUAAAGGCUUCACCAAGGCGACGAUCGGUAGCCGGCCUGAGAAGGGUGUUCGGCCACAAAUGGACUGAGACCGCUCCCUCCU